Molecule: unclassified non-coding RNA, 896 nt
Filed under: uncultured Prochlorococcus sp.
Lineage: Bacteria; Bacillati; Cyanobacteriota; Cyanophyceae; Synechococcales; Prochlorococcaceae
Description: partial 16S-23S ribosomal RNA intergenic spacer; may also contain 16S ribosomal RNA and 23S ribosomal RNA
Rfam family: tRNA (bases 347-419)
Source: RNAcentral
UUGUGGAGGAGGACGCCGAAGGUGGGGCUGAUGACUGGGGUGAAGUCGUAACAAGGUAGCCGUACCGGAAAGUUGCGGCUGGAUCACCUUCUAACAGGAGACAUAAACUGAUUAUGAUGUCUAAAUUUAAUCAUUAGGCCUUAAUCCUGUCACCUUAGGUCGAUCGGUACCUCAGAUUACCAAUUUGGAAAUGAGAGAUCACUUCGAAAUCUGUAAUUUCAGUUCCUAAACUUGUCUAGGUCACACCCAACAAACUUUCUCCUGGGCUAUUAGCUCAGGCGGUUAGAGCGCACCCCUGAUAAGGGUGAGGUCCCUGGUUCAAGUCCAGGAUGGCCCAUUCGUUGUUGGGGGUAUAGCUCAGUUGGUAGAGCGCCUGCUUUGCAAGCAGGAUGUCAGCGGUUCGAGUCCGCUUACCUCCACUGAUCAACUACCUGAUAACUCAUUUUGGAGAUUGUUAUUUGUUUAAUGUGACUUAGAUGUUGUUCAUCUGAAUGAACCUAGCUUCCUGUCGUUCCUUGUUAUUUCAUGGUUGAUAAGACGCUGGGCUCACUGUGAAUUCAAAAGAAUUCCAGUUUGAUUCAGUAGAACCUUGACAACUGCAUAGGAAAGUCUGGAAAAAAUAAAGCAUCUCAUAGAUGCAUUAUUUUUGAUCCAUUCUUAGAAAUCUGAGUAAUCAGAAAUCUAUUAUGGAUUUAAAAUAUAAUGUUAAUUCUUGAGUGAGAGCCGAGACUCUAUAACGUUCUUUUAUUGCUUAAAUAGCAAUAAGAGUUAGAUUUUUGAUUUUUAUUUCUAAUGUAAUUUUUGGAUAAUAUCUAAAUUGAACAGACGAAAAAAAUGAAAAAGAAAAGUGCUAACAACACCAUUGGCGUUAUAGAGAUUUAAUGGUCAAGCUACAA